CACUGAAUCUGCUAGCCCCGUGAUCUUGAACUUCCCAGCCUCCAGAACCGUGAGAAAUACAUUUCUUUGGUUGAUGAGCUACCCACUCCAUGAUAUUCUGUUAUAGCAGCUUGAACAGAUGAAGAGACCCUGGAGAAGAUAAUCUUAGAGAUUCCUAGACCUAAUAUUCAAUAACAUCAUAUCACAUGUUUGACAACUACAGUAACUGGAAUGUUCGAGGUGUUAUACUGUGUAUGAGAAUUCUUGGCCUCUGAAACUACAGAUGAAAGGAAAAUGAUAUUUGCCCCAGACCACCUCGACAGCCCAGUGACAAGCAACUAAAGACUUUAUCCAAAUUCUGUGAGGACGGAUGUGUACCUCAGAGACCUGUAGUGAAUGGCUGUUACAAGG
Molecule: long non-coding RNA, 390 nt
Filed under: Equus caballus (horse)
Lineage: Eukaryota; Metazoa; Chordata; Mammalia; Perissodactyla; Equidae
Description: lncRNA (ENSECAG00000057701.1)
Source: RNAcentral